AGGCAGACCCAGGGAACUGAAACAUCUAAGUACCUGGAGGAAGAGAAAGAAAAAUCGAUUUCCUGAGUAGCGGCGAGCGAAACGGAAAGAGCCCAAACCAAGAAGCUUGCUUCUUGGGGUUGUAGGACACUCUAUACGGAGUUACAAAAGAAAGUUAUAAAUGAAGCGGUCUGGAAAGGCCCGCCAAAGACGGUAACAGCCCGGUAGUUGAAAUGGCUUUCCCUCCAGAGUGGAUCCUGAGUACGGCGGAACACGUGAAAUUCCGUCGGAAUCCGGGAGGACCAUCUCCCAAGGCUAAAUACUCCCUAGUGACCGAUAGUGAACCAGUACCGUGAGGGAAAGGUGAAAAGCACCCCGGAAGGGGAGUGAAACAGUU
This 376-nucleotide ribosomal RNA is filed under the name Listeria monocytogenes. RNAcentral describes it as "partial 23S ribosomal RNA". It matches the Rfam family "Bacterial large subunit ribosomal RNA", at positions 177 to 548 of the family's 2925-position model. Lineage: Bacteria; Bacillati; Bacillota; Bacilli; Caryophanales; Listeriaceae. The record is from RNAcentral.